RNAcentral lists this transfer RNA (66 nucleotides) under Loxodonta africana (African savanna elephant). It matches the Rfam family "tRNA". Rfam says of the family: Transfer RNA (tRNA) molecules are approximately 80 nucleotides in length. Their secondary structure includes four short double-helical elements and three loops (D, anti-codon, and T loops). The record is from Rfam by way of RNAcentral. Lineage: Eukaryota; Metazoa; Chordata; Mammalia; Proboscidea; Elephantidae.
GUGGUGCAGAGGUUAAAGUACUUGGCUGCUAACCAAAAGGUUGGUGGUUCAAAUCCACCAGCCACU